GACGAACGCUGGCGGCGUGCUUAACACAUGCAAGUCGAACGGAAAGGCCUGCUUUCCCUUGUGGAUUGCGGGUACUCGAGUGGCGAACGGGUGAGUAACACGUGUGUGAUCUGCCCCCAACUUGGGUAUAAGCCUGGGAAACUGGGUCUAAUUCCCGAUAGGACUGCAGGGUGGUGCCUGUGGUGGAAAACGAUUUUCUAGUGGUUGGGGAUGAGCUCGCGGCCUAUCAGCUUGUUGGUGGGGUAAUGGCCUACCAAGGCGGCGACGGGUAGCCGGCCUGAGAGGGUGGACGGCCACAGUGGGACUGAGAUACGGCCCAGACUCCUACGGGAGGCAGCAGUGGGGAAUAUUGCACAAUGGGCGGAAGCCUGAUGCAGCGACGCCGCGUGGGGGAUGACGGCCUUCGGGUUGUAAACUCCUUUCGACCGCGAGGAAGCCACCUGGUUGGAAGGGUGGUGACGGUAGUGGUAGAAGAAGCACCGGCUAACUACGUG
Molecule: ribosomal RNA, 494 nt
Filed under: uncultured bacterium
Lineage: Bacteria
Description: partial 16S ribosomal RNA
Rfam family: Bacterial small subunit ribosomal RNA
Source: RNAcentral